GACGAACGCUGGCGGCGUGCUUAACACAUGCAAGUCGAACGGAAAGGCCUGCUUUCCCUUGUGGAUUCGGGUGACUCGCGUGGCAAACGGGUGAGUAACACGUGCGUGUUCUUCUCCCAACUUUGGUAUAAGCCUGGGAUACUGGGUCUAAUUCCCGCCAGCACCGCAGUGUGGUUCCUGUGGUGGAAAACGUUUUUCUAGUGGUUGGGGCUUAGCGCGUGGCCUAUCAGCUUGUUGGUGGGGUAGUGUCCGACCAAGGCGGCGACGGGUAGCCGGCCUGGGAGGGGGGACCGGCACAGUGGGACUGAGACACGGGCCAGACGCCUAGGGGAGGCAGCAGUGGGGAAUAAGGCACAAGGGGUGGUAGCCUGAGGGAGCGACGCUGCGGGGGGGAUGACGGGCGUCGGGUGGUGAACUCCGUGCGGCCGCGAGGAAGCCACUUGGAUGGAAGGGGGGUGACGGUAGUGGUAGAAGAAGCACCGGCUAACUACGUG
This 494-nucleotide ribosomal RNA is filed under the name uncultured bacterium. Its description in RNAcentral is "partial 16S ribosomal RNA". It matches the Rfam family "Bacterial small subunit ribosomal RNA", at positions 28 to 507 of the family's 1533-position model. The record is from RNAcentral.